Molecule: long non-coding RNA, 553 nt
Organism: Onychostoma macrolepis
Lineage: Eukaryota; Metazoa; Chordata; Actinopteri; Cypriniformes; Cyprinidae
Exons: 3
Source: RefSeq, a predicted model, not a curated record
CUGACGUAGGUACCUGACGUCACCGCGCUACAGUCUGCAGCGAGGAGUACUUGCUGGAGUCCGAGGAAAACACGGAAGUGGCGGCAGCGCCGCGGGUUUUUCCCGGGGAUGAACCCGCCAGAGUGGGAGAGCUCCGGAGAACAUCUGCGCUGUGUGUCGAUGCACCUUACGAGAGAAUAAGACCAGCAAGCAAGGCAACUGCAAUGAAGCAUCAAGAAAGACAUGAGCAGGCCUGCCACCCUGAGACUGAUAAUUCAUGAGAAGACAUUUCUGUCGAAGUGGAUGGUGAGCAAAGAUGGUGGCCACGUUUUGGAGCAGCACCUGGAUUUUGCAGAUGGCUAUGUAUUCUUUGGCUGCUUGUCUUUUUUCCCCUCAUUAUGUUUCUGUUGCCUAAAGAUUCUUUGUGAGGAUGAAUCCAGAGGACACAACAUAAUGCACUGCAAAACGUCCUAAGACAGGAGAAAUGGUGAAGAUGCACUGUUCCAGCAUUAGAAGUCUGUAUUUUUAAGUGUUAUACAUGCAAUGUUUUAAAUAAAGAAUUUGAUAUUUUGUA